CUCAGGACGAACGCUGGCGGCGUAGCGUUAAACACAGUGCGAAGUCGAACGGAAAGGUCGUCUUCGGAGAUACUCGAGUGGCGAACGGGUGAGUAACACGUGGGUAAGUCUGCCCUGCACUUCGGGAUAAGCCUGGGAAACUGGGUCUAAUACCGAAUAGGACCAUUUAGCACGUGCUUUAUGGUGGAAAGCUUUUGCGGUGUGGGAUGGGCCCGCGGCCUAUCAGCUUGUUGGUGGGGUGACGGCCUACCAAGGCGACGACGGGUAGCCGGCCUGAGAGGGUGUCCGGCCACACUGGGACUGAGAUACGGCCCAGACUCCUACGGGAGGCAGCAGUGGGGAAUAUUGCACAAUGGGCGCAAGCCUGAUGCAGCCGACGCCGCGUGGGGGAUGACGGCCUUCGGGUUGUAAACCUCUUUCACCAUCGACGAAGGUCCGGGUUCUCUCGGAUUGACGGUAGGUGGAGAAGAAGCACCGGCCAACUACGUGCCAGCCGCCGC
This 500-nucleotide ribosomal RNA is filed under the name uncultured bacterium. RNAcentral's name for it is "bacterial SSU rRNA". It matches the Rfam family "Bacterial small subunit ribosomal RNA", at positions 23 to 518 of the family's 1533-position model. The record is from RNAcentral.